CUUGACUUUGAAUUUCCCUAAGUGGAAGAGCCAGGACGCGCUGCUGGGUUAGUGGAUUGCCGUGCGCUAUAUUUAGAAAGCAGCUGGAAGGGAAAAUGUCCUCAGGAAUCCGGACUGUUUUGUUGUAAAUGUCCCUCCAGUCCCAGCACUGUAAAGGCAAACGAUCCUUCUUCCGACGUGCCUGCCCUUCGCGCUGGAUGUCACGCCUGGCGUUAGCACAGACGAAGGCCUGGCUCUUCCUUGGGCUGCCUGGGGACUCCUGAGGGAUCUAGCACCUGAGUUCCAGGUCAGCCUGCUUGGUGACUGUAGCAAGGAAGAGCCCCAGCACCUCAGGCCAAUGGGACAUGCCAUUGAAGAACGGUGCUCAAAGGGCCUCACCCUGCCUUACUGUGAAUCAUGGGCCAACACAUCUUUCUAACCAAGCCGGCACCCAACCGGAGAAGGACGAGGUACCUUCUUGGGAAGUUCUGCUCCCUGUCGAGCAGUCACAGCAUGAGGGUGCCUGGACAUGGGUGGCUGGGGCGCUGUGGGUUCAGGGUGUUGGUAGAAGAUGAGCACUUUGCAUCUGUUGAACGCCUAAGGCUUAAAAGAUUUUAUUUUCCUGGUAAAUGGUUGCUGCUCUCUGUCCCAGGUGAAUGCUGUCGGUGGGCACAGGACAGGAAGAUGAAGCCAACAAAGAAACAGCCCCCCAGCUCCUUGCACCGGCCUGAGGCUUCUAAUGUGAGGAAAAACACGCGGUGACAAGUGUGGAAAAGAGCAAGCACUAAAUUACUGUCAGAAAAAUAAACGGCGGAGCGCGGUGCUGCGUGGUGAUUUA
This 817-nucleotide long non-coding RNA is filed under the name Calidris pygmaea (Spoon-billed sandpiper). RNAcentral describes it as "lncRNA (ENSCPGG00000012742.1)". Lineage: Eukaryota; Metazoa; Chordata; Aves; Charadriiformes; Scolopacidae. The record is from RNAcentral.